UCUUAUGAGAAAAAAAAUAAAAGCAAAAUAACUCCUUGCACCUUUUUGCUUGACUGGUCAUUGCCAAAUAAGAGUGCAUAUAUUUUAAAAUUUAAUAUUUAUUUGCAAAUACAUGUAUUCAAUGGCAUGUAAAGUGACUAUGCUUUAUACCUUAAGUGUUUUAGUACAACAUUUUUCUCUAUUUAGCAAACUUUAUCAAAUGUUGCAAAUCUGGUCCUUUUUUACACCUUUACUAUGAAGGCAGCAUUCUGUACACUUUGUAGUUAUCGAUCUCUCCGUAUCUGAUUUUAUAUUUGUUUUAUUGUUGUUGUUUUUUUAUUGCCAUUAGAAAUAUAAAUUAGUAGCUAGUGUGUGUUUAAAAUUACCACAAAUUACCCUACAUUCAGUCUACAUUUAUCACCCAUAAAAUCUUGAGUGAAGUAAAUCAGUGGUAACAAAGUGGACACAAAGUCAGAUAGUUUCAUUUAUGGUUACAUUCAGAUUAAAAAAAAAUAUUUCAUAUGUGCCUGUAUCCUAACACCCAAAAAAUUGCAUAUUUAACACGCAGUUUAGAAUGUACUAAGUAAAUGAUAACCAUUCAUAAGUUUAAACCUAUUUAUUUUAGCUUGAUUACAUCGAAGGCCUAAGGCAUAUUGAAACGCUCUUAAGUCUGUUUCCUGACGUCUCUGGGGGAGAUCUAAAGAAUGCCCUCACUGUGGGGAUCGAGCCCAUGAGGUCACAGUCACUAGAUGAACAUCAUAUCCACUACUUGAACCCAUGAGGUCACAGUCACUAGAUGAACAUCAUAUCCACUACUGAACCCAUGAGGUCACAGUCACUAGAUGAACAUCAUAUCCACUACUUGAACCCAUGAGGUCACAGUCACUAGAUGAACAUCAUAUCCACUACUUGAACCCAUGAGGUCACAGUCACUAGAUGAACAUCAUAUCCACUACUUGAACCCAUGAGGUCACAGUCACUAGAUGAACAUCAUAUCCACUACUUGAACCCACGAGGUCACAGUCACUAGAUGAACAUCAUAUCCACUACUGAACCCAUGAGAUCACAGUCACUAGAUCAACAUCAUAUCCACUACUUGAACCCAUGAGGUCACAGUCACUAGAUAAACAUCAUAUCCACUACUUUUAUGAAACAUAGUUGAAAAGUAACAUAUGGCCUUGGCACUGCACUAAUUAUUGGAAGUUUGAAACUGCCUGAAUCCAUUUUUUCAUGUUUGUGUGUUUGUUGAAUGUUUGUUUAUAAUGUCUGAUACAUCUGGUUUGCAUCUCGAUGUUUGGCCACAUAGGACCACGUGGCAAUAAGGUCUCUUGCAGCUGAAGUUCCAGAGUGUGUAGAUGUGUACAAUGACCAUACUUAUUACACUUGUCUUCUAUGAUAACCUAGGGGCUUUGUAUGCCCUUGGAAUGUGGGCCUUUUCUUCUUUCAAUCCCUUUCUAAUGUCA
This is a long non-coding RNA of Dreissena polymorpha, 1442 nucleotides long. RefSeq lists it as uncharacterized. Lineage: Eukaryota; Metazoa; Mollusca; Bivalvia; Myida; Dreissenidae. The transcript has 3 exons. The record is from RefSeq and is a predicted model, not a curated record.